This 490-nucleotide ribosomal RNA is filed under the name uncultured bacterium. RNAcentral's name for it is "partial 16S ribosomal RNA". It matches the Rfam family "Bacterial small subunit ribosomal RNA", at positions 28 to 507 of the family's 1533-position model. The record is from RNAcentral.
GAUGAACGCUAGCUACAGGCUUAACACAUGCAAGUCGAGGGGCAGCAUGGUCUUAGCUUGCUAAGGCCGAUGGCGACCGGCGCACGGGUGAGUAACACGUAUCCAACCUGCCGUCUACUCUUGGACAGCCUUCUGAAAGGAAGAUUAAUACAAGAUGGCAUCAUGAGUCCGCAUGUUCACAUGAUUAAAGGUAUUCCGGUAGACGAUGGGGAUGCGUUCCAUUAGAUAGUAGGCGGGGUAACGGCCCACCUAGUCUUCGAUGGAUAGGGGUUCUGAGAGGAAGGUCCCCCACAUUGGAACUGAGACACGGUCCAAACUCAUACGGGAGGCAGCAGUGAGGAAUAUUGGUCAAUGGGCGAGAGCCUGAACCAGCCAAGUAGCGUGAAGGAUGACUGCCCUAUGGGUUGUAAACUUCUUUUAGAAAGGAAUAAAGUCGGGUAUGGAUACCCGUUUGCAUGUACUUUAUGAAUAAGGAUCGGCUAACUCCGUG